UCCAUUCGAGGAUCAAGGGCCACAGUUUAACACAUCGAAUAGUACCUCACCCCAAAUCGUGGCCGCCAAAGUGAAUCCAACGGCCACAACGUCCGUUGCGGCAACAGCCGCCACCUCCGACCGAGGCCGAGCAGGGGCAUGUGAGCAGGCUUCGACGGCGCACUUGCCGGCGAGGAAUGAUCUAGCGCCCCAACACCCAGUCAAUCGUUGACGCUUGCAAGAUGAUGUGGAGGAGAUAGCGAACGCGCGAAGGGUGAAUUUACCGGAGAUUAUGCAGUGACGAGAUCCAAUUUCUUUGCCCAGCGGCUGAGCGGUGGAAUCAAGGACUCAGGCGACGAAUUUGCUUCCUCUGGUCUCCAGCGGCUGACGAAUUUGUGACACGGCGAAGCCCCUCCGGUACCCUGCCAUGGCGA
This 413-nucleotide long non-coding RNA is filed under the name Zea mays. RNAcentral describes it as "long non-coding RNA NONZMAT003464". Lineage: Eukaryota; Viridiplantae; Streptophyta; Magnoliopsida; Poales; Poaceae. The record is from RNAcentral.